Molecule: ribosomal RNA, 253 nt
Filed under: uncultured bacterium
Lineage: Bacteria
Description: partial 16S ribosomal RNA
Rfam family: Bacterial small subunit ribosomal RNA
Source: RNAcentral
UACGUAGGGUGCGAGCGUUAAUCGGAAUCACUGGGCUUAAAGGGCGCGUAGGCGGCUCGCCAAGUCAGGGGUGAAAUACUUCAGCUUAACUGGAGAAGUGCCCUUGAUACUGGCGGGCUCGAGGGAGGUAGGGGUCUGUGGAACUUCUGGUGGAGCGGUGAAAUGCGUUGAUAUCAGAAGGAACGCCGGUGGCGAAAGCGACGGACUGGACCUCUUCUGACGCUGAGGCGCGAAAGCUAGGGGAGCAAACGGG